CGCCUGCACUUCGGGAUAAGCUUGGGAAACUGGGUCUAAUACCGGAUAGGAACCAUCUUUAGUGUGGUGGUUGGAAAGUUUUUUCGGUGUAGGAUGAGCUCGCGGCCUAUCAGCUUGUUGGUGGGGUAAUGGCCUACCAAGGCGGCGACGGGUAGCCGGCCUGAGAGGGUGUACGGCCACAUUGGGACUGAGAUACGGCCCAG
RNAcentral lists this ribosomal RNA (203 nucleotides) under uncultured Actinomycetales bacterium. RNAcentral describes it as "partial 16S ribosomal RNA". It matches the Rfam family "Bacterial small subunit ribosomal RNA", at positions 128 to 334 of the family's 1533-position model. The record is from RNAcentral. Lineage: Bacteria; Bacillati; Actinomycetota; Actinomycetes; Actinomycetales.